GACAGAGAAACCACGUCUGAGGGCAGGAAGACCGCAUGAUUCACUGGGGACGGUUUGCUUUAGCCCUAGAGGUGCUUCGUGUGGGGAAUGGGAUUUCCAUUUCCCAACGUUUCCUUUGGUGGAUUUCCCUGGCAAGGAAUCACUAACUGCGCCGGCCUGGUGCCAAUGGCUGACGCUCAGAUCAGAGGCUGGGAGAAGAAGGAUGCUGCUGAUCCUGGACUGAACUUCUGGUGCCCGGGAAAACCAAACCGCUCCCAGUUUCCACGACGAGCUGAGGCUCCCUGCCCCGCUCCUGAGAGGAGAUUCCCUGUGGCCGGGAAAGCCUCUCCUGCCUUGGAUCGCAAGGAGCCGCGACAGGAACUCCCCCCAGCCUCUGCUGUGCAGAAAGCACGUUCCUCAGCAGAGCCAGAGAAUUCUUGCAACCGCAAACGUCUUGAUCUCGUCUUCAUCAUCGACAGCUCGCGCAGUGUACGUCCUUACGACUUUGAAAAAGUGAAGGAAUUCAUUUUAACCAUCUUGCAGUUCCUAGACAUCAGUCCUGACAUCACCAGAGUAGGCCUCAUUCAGUAUGGCAGCACAGUCAAACAUGAGUUUUCAUUGAAGACGUUCAGGAGGAAACAUGAUGUGGAACGAGCAGUGAAAAGAAUGAUGCACCUGGCCACUGGCACCAUGACUGGGCUGGCUAUUCAGUAUGCACUGAACAUUGCAUUUUCAGAAUCGGAAGGGGCACGGCCACUGAGCCAGAAUGUGCCCAGAAUUAUCAUGAUAGUGACAGAUGGGAGACCACAGGAUCCCGUGGCAGAGGUUGCAGCUAAAGCCCGGAACUCAGGCAUCCUGAUUUUUGCCAUUGGUGUGGGGAGAGUGGAUAUGAACACCUUGAAGUCCAUUGGAAGUGAACCUCAUGAAGAGCAUGUCUUUUUGGUGGCUAAUUUCAGUCAGAUUGAAACGCUAACCUCUGCAUUCCAGACUAAACUUUGCGUGCCCCAUGUGUGCAGUAUAACUGAGCAUGGUUGUGAUCACUUCUGUAUUAACACCCCUGGCUCCUACAUGUGCAAAUGUAAACAGGGAUACACUCUGAACGCUGACCAGAAGACUUGCAGCACCCAGGACCUAUGUGCUGUGGAGAAACAUGCCUGUGAACAGAUCUGUGUGAACACACCUGGGUCCUAUGUCUGUCAGUGUUAUGAUGGCUAUGGGCUCGAUGAAGAUGGAAAGAAGUGUAUCGUUGUAGACCUUUGUGCUUUGGAUAACCAAGGUUGUCAACAUGAGUGUGUAAGUGUGGAUGACUCCUACUACUGUAGAUGCCAUCAAGGAUUUAUUCUAAAUCCAGACAGAAGAACUUGCAGAAGACCAGAUUACUGUGCUUUGCAGACCCAUGGCUGUCAACAGGAAUGUGUUAAUACAAAUGAUUCCUAUUUUUGUCAAUGCCAACACGGGUUUACUCUUAAUCCAGAUAAGAGAACUUGCAAAAGAAUAAACUUCUGUGCUUUGGGUAAACAUGGCUGUGAACAGGAAUGUGUUAACACAGAAGACUCUUUUGUGUGCAGAUGUCAUAGUGGAUACACCCUAAACCGUGAUGGCAAAACGUGCAGAAGAGUGGAUCACUGUGCUGAGAACAACCAUGGCUGUGAGCAGCUGUGCCUGAACACAGGCGACUCAUAUGUCUGUCAGUGUUCUGAAGGAUUCAUCAUUAAUGAAGACCUAAAAACCUGCACACGAGUGGACUAUUGUGCACUGAGUGACCCUGGUUGUGAACAUUUGUGUGUAAACAGUGAAAAAUCUUAUACUUGUCAGUGCUUUGAAGGAUAUGAGCUUCGUGAUGAUGGGAAAACUUGUAAACAUAAAGACCUCUGCAAAUCAGUUGACCAUGGUUGUGAACAUGUUUGUGUUAAUAGUGACAAUUCAUACAUCUGCAAGUGCCGUAAGGGAUUUGCACUGCGGGAAGAUGGGAAAACGUGCAGAAAUAAAGACCUCUGCAAAUCAGUUGACCAUGGUUGUGAACAUGUUUGUGUUAAUAUGGACAAUUCCUACAUCUGCAAGUGCCGUAAGGGAUUUGUACUGCGGGAGGAUGGGAAAACGUGCAGAAAUAAGGAUGUCUGCAAAUCAUUUGACCAUGGUUGUGAACAUAUUUGUGUUAAUAAUGACAAUUCCUACAUCUGUAAGUGCCAGGAGGGAUUUGUACUGAGAGAGGAUGGGAAAACGUGCAGAAAUAAGAACGUCUGCAAAUCAGUCAACCAUGGUUGUGAACAUGUUUGUGUAAAUAAUGAUAAUUCAUACACCUGUCAGUGCCAUGAGGGAUUUGUGCUAAGAGAGGAUGGGAAAACAUGCAGAAAUAAAGACCUCUGUAAGUCCAUUGACCACGGAUGUGAACAGGUUUGUGUUAAUGAUGACAUUUCAUACACCUGCCAGUGCCAUGAGGGGUUCAUACUAAGAAAGGAUGGGAAAACAUGCAGAAAUAAGGAUGCCUGCAAAUCAGUUGACCCUGGCUGUGAACAUAUUUGCGUUAAUACUGACAGUUCAUACAUCUGCAAGUGCCAUGAGGGAUUUGUACUGAGAGAGGAUGGGAAAACAUGUAGAAAUAAAGACCUCUGCAAAACGGUUGAUCAUGGCUGUGAACAUAUUUGCAUUAAUAAUGACCCUUCCUACGUCUGCAAGUGCCAUGAGGGAUUUGUACUACAAGAAGAUGGGAAAAUGUGCAGAAGAUGCACUGAAGGCCCAAUUGAUCUGGUGUUCGUGAUUGAUGGAUCAAAAAGUCUUGGAGAGGAUAAUUUUGAAGUUGUAAAGGAAUUUGUCUCUGGAAUCUUGGAUUCUCUUGAGAUUUCUCCCAAAGCUGCUCGAGUUGGUUUGCUGCAGUAUUCCUCUCAAGUUCGCACAGAGUUCACAUUAAGACAAUUCAGCACAGCCAAAGACAUGAAAAAAGCAGUAUCCCAAAUGAAAUACAUGGGGAAAGGCUCCAUGACUGGACUUGCCUUGAAACAAAUGUUUGAGAGAAGCUUUACUGAAGCAGAAGGGGCAAGGCCAUUUUCAGCAGAAGUGCCCAGGGUGUCUAUAGUGUUUACAGAUGGACGAGCCCAAGAUGAAGUCUCUGAGUGGGCCAGCAAAGCAAAGCAGAAUGGUAUAACUAUCUAUGCUGUUGGAAUAGGAAAAGCAAUUGAGGAAGAAUUACUGGAAAUUGCUUCUGAGCCACCAGACAAACAUCUCUUCUAUGCUGAAGACUUCAGUACCAUGGGGGAGAUAAGUGAAAAACUAAAAAAACGAAUCUGUGAAGCUUUGGAAGAGUCAGAUCCCCAUCAGGAUCCACUGACAGGGAGACCUCACAAGACUGGUCCUCAUUCUUCAGGAUCUGAACCAGCCAGCAUAGCCGUCACAGACCUCCUUGCCUGUUCCAAUUUUGCAGUACAUCACAAGUAUCUUUUUGAAGAGGAGAGUGUUUCACAGUCAACAGCAAGAUCAGCAAACCCUUCAAAAGAUAAGGAGCAGUGCAACUGUGAAAAUCUCAUGACAUUCCAGAACCAUGCCAAUGCUGAAGUAAAAAAACUAACUCAGCGAUUGGAAGAAAUAACUAAGAGAAUGGAAGCCCUGGAAAACAGACUAAGAUACUGAUGAAGAGUUCUUAACAGAAGUAUACACUGUACUGUAUAUUUAUACAUACAAGUUGCAACAAAGCUAUUUUCUUAAAGCAGUACAAAGCUAUGUAGCACAAAUCUUUUUGUGUUUGAGGGAAAAGGACAUUUUUGGACCCAAUAUUUACAUACUGAGUAUUCCAGGUGUUUGAGCAACAUUCAAGUAAGUUUGCCAUCUGCCUUCUACAUCCAGAACACACACAAUGUCCUCUCACCUAGCACUCUAGUCAUUGGACAGAAUUCACAAUUAUUGGGUCCCAGUCUAUAUUCUACUCUAUCACCUUGUAAACUCUUCAGGUCAAGGGUCUUUUCUUAUGUGUUCUAUCUAGCCUAGUCAUGCAAGUUUCCUCCAGAUAAAGGGCAGAAUAUGGGGCACUAAAUGUUUCAGGGAGAAUGGUCCUCAGGUGAAUUUACAUUCAAAUAUUCCAAUUUGAGAGCCAUAUAGAAGAUACUGUUUUCUCUGAAGCAGAUUCUCUCAGGCCAAACAAUCCUACACUUGUUGGAUAACUCAACAGUAGAGCUGAGCAAAUUACUAAUUAUUCAAUGUGGUAGUGUUAAAAAAAAUAAAAUUAAAAAAUUAAAAAUAAAAUUAGUUUCAAAGUGACACUGAAUUUGUUUCUUACCACAACAAAACCCCAGAUUUCAACUUAACGGUGCUGGGCAAAAGCUUUCCUGAACUGCAAUUUCACCCUCUCUUCCAGUCUCUGAAAAAAAAAAUUACCACCUGUGGGAGCCUUUUGGUCAUGAGUAAAUCUACUUACAUGUCUUAGGCCACAGCUGUGACAGCAGAUGUUCUCUCAGGGGAACAUGGACACUUUUACAGAUGAAAACCAUCUCUCUUCCCAAGACACCUGAAAGGUGUUUUCUCUCCCUCCCAAAGUCCUUUAGGUUGCUGCCAUCCUCUCUCCUUGGAGAGUUUUAUAUUGCUUUUUUCUUGCUCUGCAUGUAACAAUUUAAAGUACAGGCAAGCAAUAUAGAAUAUUAGUGUUGGAAGAGACCUCAGGAGAUCUAGUCCAGUCCCCUGUUCAAAGUAUACAUGUUCCUUUUUGAUUGCAGCUUGUCAAAAUAGUCAUUUCCUAGCUUUUCUGUCCAAAAAAGCAGUAGCCUUUUUUGCACCUUCUUGUUAAAGAGCAGUUCAUCCAUUGUGAGGAUGCAAAUAUUACAGGAACAAGUUUGUGGGGUUAAGUGACAUCCCUCCAUGCAGACUCAAGAGUAAUGGUUUGCAGUUCCUGGUACCUCCAAAUUUUGCAUGUGUUUACAACACAACAGCUUGAAGACCAUUUUCUUGGGUACUUGACAAUUAUGCAACUCUUGCAUGAAUGUAUACAGCUUUAGCUUAUACUGCUUUGUAAACAUAUCUUGUAAUGUCCUGUUAAUUUUAUAUCUACUUAAGUACAAUUCAUUUUUGAGAAUGAAUAGAUUUAAUUUUCAAAAGUAUUUACUGGUUUGACUCAAAUUCGUAAUACACAUCUCCCCUUGCAACAUGUUAACUGGUAAAGAAAAACAUGACUGUUUUACAAUGGUAGUCUCAAACUAGACUGAAGCAGUAAGUGGUGGCAUUCUGUAAUCAUGCUGUUAGAUUGCAUCCAAUUUGUGUGUGUGCGCGCGCAAAAGAUCCAUUAGUUCUUCAGACUAGUCAUAAAAAAAGUUACAUAUAGCUUGUUAGAGCUUUAGUUAAGUAAGAGGUUUCAAAUCUGACAUUUAGCUCACACAUCCCUUUCUAGAACUGAGAAGAGUUUCAUCUUAUAUGCUUCCUAGCAUACAGCAACAGUUUGUUUUGCUUGAUAUCAGCAUUAGUAUCUGCUCAUGGGAGUUUAUAGACACCCAAAAUACAAAUAUUAUGCCUAUAAUUGAAUAUGGUGGCUGAUGGAUCCUGGCACACACAAUGUCUCUCCCCCCCCGAACUUUAAAUCUCAAUGUUUACAUAUAGACAAUUAACUUUUGUUUAGCAUACAAAUUAAGUGGUAUCCAGUAAAAACUGUCCAAUUUGAAUAACUGGAAUUUAAACAGGCAAAUUGUACAUUUCAUAAUCAUUUUUAAAAUAAACUUCCUUUUAACGAGAGGAUCCUAAGAGUCAAAGAUCAGUGGGGUUAAUUCUUCUAAUAUCAGAGGAUUUAGUUAAGUAACUUCCUUCAUGUUUUAUUGUGAUGUAUAAUGGAUGUCACUUGAAGGGAUUCUUACAGUUCAGAACAGAUUUAAUAUUAAUAGUCAAUGACUGAUUCAGCAUACAUCAAAAGGGGAAAUACACUUUACUACAAUUCUGUGUAUGUGUAUUUUGUAUGCCUCUAUUAAAGAUAGAUUGCUGAAAAGUUGGAGCC
Molecule: non-coding RNA, 5941 nt
Organism: Chrysemys picta bellii (western painted turtle)
Lineage: Eukaryota; Metazoa; Chordata; Testudines; Emydidae
Source: RefSeq, a predicted model, not a curated record